Long non-coding RNA from Pristis pectinata (smalltooth sawfish), 249 nucleotides. RefSeq lists it as uncharacterized. The transcript is spliced from 3 exons. Lineage: Eukaryota; Metazoa; Chordata; Chondrichthyes; Rhinopristiformes; Pristidae. The record is from RefSeq and is a predicted model, not a curated record.
AUACUAGAGAAACAAAGGACUGCAGAUGCUGGAAUCUAGAUGGAAAACCUGAUGAUGUUGGAGGAACUCAGCAGGCCAGGCAGUGUGGGUCUUUGAGGCUUUGGUGUGAAGAGGUGGAGGCUAAGACAAAGCCCCAAGACCCAGACUGAACCAGUGACUGUUCCUUCCUGGAAUCUCUGUCUGGGGACACCCACCCAUCCAGAGUUCCUUGUAUACCAUUGCAGCCAGUGCCAGCCUCCUUCAUUCAGC